GUGGGUCGGGUCAACGUUGAGGGCGUGAGAAAUGACCUCCGGGUCGAUCCCAGGUACAUCGGCCGCCGACCAGGCAAACACAUCGACAUUGGCUCGGAGGAAUUCCACCAACCGGGCCCGAGCUCCCGGGUCGAGAUUGGCGCCGACCCGGAUCGUCCUGUCCGGGCGACCUUCCUCGAGGGGAACUUCGAUCACACCCUCGGCCGGCUCCCCGUGCCGCAAGGCC
RNAcentral lists this long non-coding RNA (226 nucleotides) under Phoenix dactylifera (date palm). Its description in RNAcentral is "long non-coding RNA (PDAC_LNC017212)". Lineage: Eukaryota; Viridiplantae; Streptophyta; Magnoliopsida; Arecales; Arecaceae. The record is from RNAcentral.